AAGUGUUACAGCUCUUUUAGAAUUUAUCUAGCAGGUUUUCCGGUCUUUACCAGAAGACCCCC
The sequence is a small nuclear RNA, 62 nucleotides long. Its record names the gene U7. It matches the Rfam family "U7 small nuclear RNA". Rfam says of the family: Animal histone pre-mRNAs are spliced by a different mechanism than nuclear pre-mRNAs and self-splicing introns. This processing involves the U7 snRNP, which contains only one RNA species: U7. The 5' end of U7 RNA is thought to base-pair to a conserved spacer element downstream of the cleavage site in histone pre-mRNA. The record is from Ensembl.